Molecule: ribosomal RNA, 660 nt
Filed under: uncultured bacterium
Lineage: Bacteria
Description: bacterial SSU rRNA
Rfam family: Bacterial small subunit ribosomal RNA
Source: RNAcentral
UGCAAGUCAGGGGGAACGUUCGAGCUUGCUCGAAUUAGUAAACCGGCGGACGGGUGAGUAACACGUAGGUAACCUGCCUCUAGGUUUGGGAUAACCUCGCUAACGCGGGGCUAAUACCGGAUAAUACAACGAAUUCGCAUGGAUAUGUUGUUAAAGUGGGCUUCGGCUCACGCCUGAAGAUGGACCUGCGCCUCAUUAGCUUGUUGGUAGGGUAACGGCCUACCAAGGCUACGAUGGGUAGCCGGCCUGAGAGGGUGACCGACCACACUGGGACUGAGAUACGGCCCAGACUCCUACGGGAGGCAGCAGUGAGGAAUAUUGGGCAAUGGCCGAAAGGCUGACCCAGCAACGCCGCGUGAGGGAUGAAGCUCCAUGGAGUGUAAACCUCUUUCGGGAGGGAAGAACUUCUCCAAAGUUAAUAAUUUUGGAGAUUGACGGUACCUCCUAAAGAAGCCCCGGCUAACUCCGUGCCAGCAGCCGCGGUAAUACGGGGGGGGCGAGCGUUGUCCGGAAUUAUUGGGCGUAAAGGGCGCGUAGGCGGAAUAGUAAGUCAGAAGUGAAAAUCAUGGGCUUAACUCAUGACCUGCUUUUGAUACUGCUAUUCUCGAGUGCGAGAGAGGAAAGCAGAAUUCCCGGUGUAGCGGUGAAAUGCGUAGAUAU